CUACGGGGGGCAGCAGUGGGGAAUAUUGCACAAUGGGCGCAAGCCUGAUGCAGCCAUGCCGCGUGUAUGAAGAAGGCCUUCGGGUUGUAAAGUACUUUCAGCGGGGAGGAAGGGAGUAAAGUUAAUACCUUUGCUCAUUGACGUUACCCGCAGAAGAAGCACCGGCUAACUCCGUGCCAGCAGCCGCGGUAAUACGGAGGGUGCAAGCGUUAAUCGGAAUUACUGGGCGUAAAGCGCACGCAGGCGGUUUGUUAAGUCAGAUGUGAAAUCCCCGGGCUCAACCUGGGAACUGCAUCUGAUACUGGCAAGCUUGAGUCUCGUAGAGGGGGGUAGAAUUCCAGGUGUAGCGGUGAAAUGCGUAGAGAUCUGGAGGAAUACCGGUGGCGAAGGCGGCCCCCUGGACGAAGACUGACGCUCAGGUGCGAAAGCGUGGGGAGCAAACAGGAUUAGAUACCCGAGUAGUC
This 464-nucleotide ribosomal RNA is filed under the name uncultured bacterium. RNAcentral describes it as "partial 16S ribosomal RNA". It matches the Rfam family "Bacterial small subunit ribosomal RNA", at positions 339 to 795 of the family's 1533-position model. The record is from RNAcentral.